RNAcentral lists this transfer RNA (81 nucleotides) under Dreissena polymorpha. It matches the Rfam family "tRNA". Rfam says of the family: Transfer RNA (tRNA) molecules are approximately 80 nucleotides in length. Their secondary structure includes four short double-helical elements and three loops (D, anti-codon, and T loops). The record is from Rfam by way of RNAcentral. Lineage: Eukaryota; Metazoa; Mollusca; Bivalvia; Myida; Dreissenidae.
GUUGUCUUGGCCGAGUGUUAUGGCCAUAGAAUAGAAAUCUUUUGGGAUAUUCUCGCGCAGGUUCGAAUCUUGCCGACAACG